Molecule: long non-coding RNA, 511 nt
Organism: Oncorhynchus keta (chum salmon)
Lineage: Eukaryota; Metazoa; Chordata; Actinopteri; Salmoniformes; Salmonidae
Exons: 3
Source: RefSeq, a predicted model, not a curated record
CAUCCACUAGGUACACUGGGGAAGAUAGACAUCCACUAGGUACAUAUCACAGCACUGGGGAAGAUAGACAUCCACUAGGUACAUAUCACAGCACUGGGGAAGAUAGACAUCCACUAGGUACACUGGGGAAGAUAGACAUCCACUAGGUACAUAUCACAGCACUGGGGAAGAUAGACAUCCACUAGGUACAUAUCACAGCACUGGGGAAGAUAGACAUCCACUAGGUACACUGGGGAAGAUAGACAUCCACUAGGUACAUAUCACAGCACUGGGGAAGAUAGACAUCCACUAGGUAUACUGGGGAAGAUAGACAUCCACUAGUUACAUAUCACAGCACUGGGGAAGAUAGACAUCCACUAGGUACAUAUCACAGCACUGGGGAAGAUAGACAUCCACUAGGUACACUGGGGAAGAUAGACAUCCACUAGGUACAUAUCACAGCACUGGGGAAGAUAGACAUCCACUAGGUACAUAUCACAGCACUGGGGAAGAUAGACAUCCACUAGGUACA